RNAcentral lists this ribosomal RNA (497 nucleotides) under uncultured bacterium. RNAcentral's name for it is "partial 16S ribosomal RNA". It matches the Rfam family "Bacterial small subunit ribosomal RNA", at positions 28 to 507 of the family's 1533-position model. The record is from RNAcentral.
GAUGAACGCUGGCGGCGUGCCUAAUACAUGCAAGUCGAGCGAACAGACGAGGAGCUUGCUCCUCUGACGUUAGCGGCGGACGGGUGAGUAACACGUGGAUAACCUACCUAUAAGACUGGGAUAACUUCGGGAAACCGGAGCUAAUACCGGAUAAUAUAUUGAACCGCAUGGUUCAAUAGUGAAAGACGGUUUUGCUGUCACUUAUAGAUGGAUCCGCGCCGCAUUAGCUAGUUGGUAAGGUAACGGCUUACCAAGGCAACGAUGCGUAGCCGCCCUGAGAGGGUGAUUAGCCCGACUGGGAGUGAGACCCGGUCCAGUCUCCUACGGGUGCCAGCAGGAGGGAUUCUUCCGGCAUGGGCGAGAGCCUGACGGAGCAGCGCCGCGUGAUUGAUGAGGGUCUUCGGAUCGUAAAACUCUGUUAUUGGGGAAGAACAAAUGUGUAAGUAACUAUGCACGUCUUGACGGUACCUAAUCAGAGAGCCACGGCUAACUUCGUG